GACGAACGCUGGCGGCGUGCCUAAUACAUGCAAGUAGGACGCAGUUGCGAACGGGUGAGUAACGCGUAGGUAACUGCCUAUUAGAGGGGGAUAACUAUUGGAAACGAUAGCUAAUACCGCAUACUAGUAGAUGGACCUGCGUUGUAUUAGCUAGUAGGUAGGGUAAUGGCCUAGCUAGGCGACGAUACAUAGCCGAGCGGAGAUGGUGGUCGGCCAAACUGGGACGUGGAAAAGGCCCAGACUCCUACUGGAGGCAGCAGUAGGGGAUGGUCGGCAAUGGGGGGAACCCUGACCGAGCAACGGCGGGGGAGUGAAGAAGGUUUUCGGAUCGUAAAGCUCUGUUGUUAAGGAAGCGGUACUUAACCAGAAAGGGACGGCUAACUACGUGCCAGCAGCCGCGGUAAUUC
RNAcentral lists this ribosomal RNA (407 nucleotides) under uncultured bacterium. Its description in RNAcentral is "partial 16S ribosomal RNA". It matches the Rfam family "Bacterial small subunit ribosomal RNA", at positions 28 to 526 of the family's 1533-position model. The record is from RNAcentral.